Molecule: long non-coding RNA, 1494 nt
Filed under: Daucus carota (carrot)
Lineage: Eukaryota; Viridiplantae; Streptophyta; Magnoliopsida; Apiales; Apiaceae
Description: long non-coding RNA (DCAR_LNC001822)
Source: RNAcentral
GCAACUUCUCCUAAUCAUAUAUAAUUGUUAUUCAAUACUUAAUGGAUACGGUCCUCUUUUGGCAACUUCUCUUAAUCAGAUAUUUAUUGUUAUUUAGUACUUAGUGGAUACCUUUUCACAUAAAAGCUUCAUGCACUUUGUAUGGAAAUAUCGUCAAACAUUAUUUGUUAAUUAUUUUAAGAGUAAGCUUAGUCUAAAAAGUACAUAUAUGAAAUUACGGGCGAGUCCAGGAAAUCUGACUGAACUUUUGAGAGAUUUGCAACAAACUUUUGAACUGGCAAUCUCCUUCACUUGAGAGUUCACAUGCAUUUUUAUCUCAACCUCCUUGCUUCUUGUAAAUGCUUCAAUUGGCUAACGAGAAACAUCUGUGCUGCAAAAAUGUAGGAACACACUGAGAUUUCUCUUAAUGACAGAAGGAAAGCAGCUAGACCACGUGGAUCUAAGAAAAGAAAAGAACUUUCUUGUAGGCAAAGUCUUGCAGGUGCUUCUAGUUAUUUUUGUUGUUGAAAGUUUUCUUUUCAUGUAUACUAAAUUGCUAUGCCUUUCCGAUUCCAUUUAUCAUUUAUUUACUUUAAAAUUUGUUUGACAGGGGCUGGUACAUGCUGGACUUCUGGUGUACGACGGAGCAACAGAAAUAGAACAAGGCCAUUGGAAUAUUGGAAAGGAGAAAGAUUUUUACGUGGACGUGUGCAUGAGAGUAAGUAAACUUCUUUUUUUCUUGAUAGUUUGCUGUGCUUAUAUAUACAUGUUUCUUUUUAUUGUUCGUUUAAAUUAAUUCUGUCAUGCAUACAAAGCAUAGUUUUGAUAGUACACUUGAAUUGUUCUGUUAAUUUCUGUUUACUCUUAUGUGCAAGUUUUAAUUGCUGACUAAUGUCUUCAAUGAGAUAGUAGAUUUGUACCAAGCACACAAAUAACUGGGAAUAAGUUCAUCAGAAACUUUACAAUGGUUUGACAAAAAAUAUGUUAGUAACAUUUCUAAUGCUUUGAAGGGUACCAUGAGCAUACCUGUAGCUUAUACCAGUUCUAUUGUUUUUGCUGAUAGGAAAAUCAUAUAGCUAGAUUUUAUCAUGAAUAGAAUCAUUCCUUGAAUGCAAUGUUAUUUACGGCGGGAUGCGCACCAAGGUGCAAGGGUCCCUUGGAGCCUAGGCGAUGAGGUGCGCGCCUCAUCGAAAUGAGGCGAAUUUAUUUAAAAAUUGAAUUAUAAUUUUAUUUAAAGUGCAGCAUUAUUACAUACCUGAGCUUUAAAGUGUAAAAUUAGCCAAUUCCAGGCUCAUAGCAGUUCUGGAACUGAAAUCUGCACCACUGAACUUAAACGCAACAGAUUUAAGUAACAAUUUAACAAUAAGGAAGGAGUAGGAUCAGGAUUAAGGUUAGUAGAAUACUAGAAUCUAGAAUACAUCCACUGCACAUUACAUAGUAAUUAACAACUUAACAUAGAAAUAAGUCCAGCAAAUGUGAUGAAACAAAUUUAGAGGAAAGUAGGAAACUAGCAGU